Molecule: long non-coding RNA, 20340 nt
Filed under: Lynx pardinus (Iberian lynx)
Lineage: Eukaryota; Metazoa; Chordata; Mammalia; Carnivora; Felidae
Source: RNAcentral
AGGACCUUACAAUGACCCAUGCUACCUUCAGCCAUUUGUGCCUCUGCAUAAAUUGUUUGGACUGAUUAGCCUAUCCGUCACCAAUAGCAACCAAAGAGAAUAUGAAUCUAAACAGGCUGUCACCAUUUGGUGUGUUUAAACACAAUAAAGAGUACAUCCCAAAGCACUGGAGUGUGUUUCAGCCCUCUGGGAGGCAACAGGAUAGCCAAGCCAAAUGUGUGUGUAUGUAUUGGGGUGGUCGUCAGAGAAUUCAACUGCACUCAAACCCUUGGUGUCUCAAAGGCCGUCUUGGAGCCAGAUUUAGAAGCCACACAUCACGCUAUCACUUAGUAUUGUUUGUGCUCCUCAGUUUUCUGCACAUGUGCUCCUCAGGAAAUUGAUGACUAGAAGACAUCACUUUUCAUUCACAUGGACUGAUUCAUCCUAGAGGGAACAUUAUUUGGUGAUUUGUGAAAAAUUCUGUGAAUGCAGAAAAGCACCCCAUACAGUGCUCCAGUUCACACUGUAGCCAGCAGGGGCCUUCAUCAUGGCAUCCCUCAAAGCUCAAUCCUGCUACCUGUAGGAUACAGGAUAAGGCUAUCUUGCUCUGGCCCUCCACUGGAAAUCGCACCAUCUUGCCCAUAUAUUCUGUAGUGCCUUGCGUUGACCCUAAUCCAAACUCAUUUUUUUUUUCUCUUUGGAAUGUCUGUUUUAUGAUGAGUACACUUCAUAUUCUUUCAACUCCUUACCUUAAUCAUAAAACAUUUUCACUUCUGAAAUCACUAUUUAAAAAUGACUGCUCUUGGGGCGCCUGGGUGGUUCAGUCGGUUAAGCGUCCGACUUCAGCCCAGGUCAUGAUCUCGCGGUUCGAGAGUUCGAGCCCCGAGUCCGGCUCUGUGCUGACAGCUCAGAGCCUGGAGCCUGCUUCAGAUUCUGUGUCCCCCUCUCUCUCCGCCCCACCCCUGCUUGUGCUCUGUCUCUCUCUUUCUUUCAAAAAUGAAUAAACAUUUAAAAAAAUGACUGCUCUUUAGGGGUGCCUGGAUGGCUCAGUCGGUGGGGCAUCCAACUUUGGUUCAGGUCAUGAUCUCGUGGUUCGUGAGUUCGAGCCUCGCAUCUGGCUCUGUGCUGGCAGCUCAGAGCCUAGAGCCUGCUUCAGAUUCUGUAUCUCCCUCCCUCUCUGCCCCUCCCCCAUUCUCAUUCUCUCUCUCUUUCAAAAACAAACAUUUAAACAUUAAAAAAAAAAAAAAUUACUGCUCUAUAGCCUUAAGUUCCUAUCUAUCCAGCUUGCUCUAAUGUGAAGGUUCAGACUUCUAUUAUUUGACCCCUAUUUAAUUUAUUUUGCUAUCCAUAAGCUUUUAACCUGCUUUCAUCCUUCUUUUAUCCAGCUUUGAUUGUUUCACCUGCCAUUACAAUUAAACAUUGUACAAAUGGUAAAUUAUGUUUCUCUUCUGUCCUUUAUUGCUCUCAUCUGGGACAACGUCAACUCUUGGAUAAAACUAUUUCCAGGAAAUACCAUGUUUUGUUGGGGAAAAAAUCACAUAACAGAAUAAUGUAAUUCCAUUGUGAAUUAAUGAUUGUCAGUCUCAACUGAAUCUCAGUAAUAUUACUAUCCAAAAAUUCUAUUAUGUUUAUCUGGUCAGUUUUCUAUCCAACUUUUACAAUCUCUAUUUCAAACCUAUUUUAUUUUCAUUCAUCUUCUGGGUCUCCCCUUCUGCCCCUGCCCAUUCUCAGCAGAUGAUCGUAUUUCUCAUGUAACAAGGAAAAAUGAAACCGUAAGAUGGGAGCUUCUUUACCUUUUCAUCUCCACAUCUAUCUAUACUCAUUCUUUUCUCUCUAUAACUUGUUAAAAAAAGGAAGUAUCCAUCUUCUUAUAUGUCAGUUCUUUCCUGCAUAUUUAGGAACAUUAUAUUCUUGGCCAUACAUUCCCUCUGUUGAAACCUCUACCAGUUCCUUUUGUAGGAUCAUUCCAAUUAGCUGUUAAGGUUUGGUCUCUCAUAAAUAAAAAUUUAUUUUUGGCUUUAGUUUCAGCCUCCACUACUAACUACCCUAUACCUUGCCUUAAAACUAUUUCUGUUCUUACCUUAAACUAAAAUGUUAAAGGGAUUUUAAUGUUUCGAUAUCUGUAUUUUCCAUGGACUCUUGAAGAGCUCAUUUUGAUCAAGCUUGCAUCAAAAUCUCUACUACUUCACUAAAUGCCCUGGUCACCAAAGUCCACCAUGUCCCCAAAUAAAUUUAACAUUCUUUGUUUCCUUUUUUUUUUCUCAACUUCUCAGUAAAAUCAAACAUUUCUUACUUCCUACCCUAGAAAUUAUCCUUUAGUGACAUCAACACCAUACUUUUUACUGUGUACUCUCACUUCUCUGGAAAAUUCCUUCUGAGUUUUGCCUUAAGUAUUGUCAUUCUUUAGUGUUUGGUCUUAAGUACUCUCCCUUUUAUUAACCUUAUGAUCUACUCUUUCCCCAGGCAAUCAGAUUUAAUUGUAGAGCCUUUUCAUAUGUUCAUGCAUGACUGAAAUUUGAAUCCCUACCCUAGGUUUUUUCUCUGUACUUUACCCAUAUGUUCAACUGACUAAGUGACAUUUCCAAAAGUAUAUUUCAUAGAUGCCUCACCAUCUUGUGUAAAAUUGAAUCUAUGAUAUCCUAUUGCUAAUAUGCUCAUCUUCUGUGAUUUUAUUUUCCUGUACAGACUAUUUUUGUUACUGCAUUGACUGGAAACUCCAAUAAAAUGAGUAGAAGCAGUGGUAAUGGACAUUCCUAACCUAUCCCUGACUUUAAUUGGAAUGCUCCUAAAAUACCACCAUUAAAUAUGAUGAUAGUAAUCCAUAGCUGAUGCUACUAGUUCCUUAUGCAAUAUUCAUGAAUUAGUAAGAUUACCAUCUUACUAAUAGGUAAUCUCUUUUAAAAAGAGCAGCAAUAUGUCUAGAACAAAAACAAUUUUUUUUGAUUUUCAAACUUUAUUGCAGUUAAAAAUACAGUUCUGAAUAAUGACAUGUAAAUUGAGUGUUUCCAGGAAAAGUUUUAGCAGUCUUGGCAUAGGCACUGUCCCCUCCCCCUUUUACUUCCUUCUUCCUGCUAAGAAUGCAGAUCUGAUGCCCAUAAGACUUACAGCCUUUUUGCCAUCAAAGGAUAUGUGGCAGAAAUCUAGAAAGAUCUGGAGACCCUGAUGUCAUUCUUAUAUUACCAUACUGUCCUUCCUAUACUGCUAUUUCUCAGACUUCAUAUAGUUGCAACAAAUGAAAAGUUUAUUUAAACCAUUUCUGAUAGAAUUUUGGUUAAUCUCAGCUAAAAACAAACCUAAUUUAUAUGUACUUGUGGUAGACAGAGUAAUAGCAUCCCAAAGAUGUCCACAUACUAAUCCCCAUAGUCUGUGAAUAUGUUACACACAUGGCAUGGGGAAAUUAAAUUGCAAAUGGAAUUAGUAUUACUAACUUUAAACUGAUUUUAAAAGAGGCAGAUAAUCUAGAUUAAUCACAUGAGCCUAAUGUAACUAUGAGGAUCCUUAAAAGUUGAAGAGGAAGAUAGAAGAGAGAAAGUCGAAGUGAUGGAAUGUGAGAUGUGAGAAGGACUCCAGCCAUUGCUAGUUUUUAAAGUCACUAAUUGGCCAUAAACCAAGGAAUGUGGGCAGCUUCUAGAACUUGGAAAAGGUAGGGAAGUAGUUCCUCUCCUAGAACCUCCAGAAGGAAUGCAGUCCUGCUGACAUCUUGAUUUUAACCCAUUAAGACCUGUGUCAAGUUUCUAACCUACUAAACUAUAAGAUAAUAAAGAUGUAUGGUUUAAAGCCAUUAAAUUUGUCAAAAUUUGUUACAGCAGCACUAGAAAACCAAUAUAGUACUCUUAUUUUUUUUUAAUUUUUUAAAAAGCUUAUUUAUUUAUUUUGAGAGAGAGAGGGAGGCAGAAAGGGAGAGGGAGAAAGAGAAUCCCAAGCAGGCUCAGUGCUGUCAGCACAGUGCCUGACUUGGGACUUGAACCCACGAACUGUGAGAUCAUGACCUGGGCUGAGAUCAAGAGUUAGACACUUAACCAACUGAGCCAGGCACCCCUAAUAUGCUACUUUUUAUGAACUUGAGGAAGGUUCCUGCUAUUUUUGUUGGCUAAAAGUUUUAUCAUGAAUGAAUCUAAAAUUUAACCAACUGUUGUUCUGGCUAUACUGAAAAAUAAGUAUGAUGAAAAUAUCUUAUUUUUCAUUUCCUCUUUUAAGUGUUAAUAUGCUGGAUUACUUUAGGAUUACUUUAAUAAAUGUUUCAAUUUAAAUGGUGACUACAUAUCUUGAUAAGCACUGAGUAAUGUAUAGAAUUGUUGAAUCAUUAUGCUGUACACCUGAAAUUCAUAUAACAUUGUAUGUUAAUUAUACUUCAGUUAAAAAAAUAAAUCUGUCAACAAAACUAGAAGCCUACAGAAAGCGAGAAGAUAUUUGCAAAUGACAUAUCUGAUAAAGGGCUAGUGUCUAAAAUCUGUAAAGAACCUAUCAAGCUCAACACCCAAAAAGCAAAUAACCCAGUUAAAAAAUGGGCAGAAGACAUGAAUAGACACUUUUCCAAAGAAGACAUCUAGAUGGCUAACAGAUACAUGAAAGGAUGCCCAACAUCACUCAUCAUCAGGGAAAUACAAAUCAAAACCACUGAGAUACUACCUUGCACUUGUCAGAAUGGCUAAAAUUAACAACACAAGAAACAACAGGUAUUGGUGAAAAUGUGGAGAACAAUGCACUUGUUGGUGGGAAUGCAAACUGGUGCAGCCACUCUGGAGAACGGUACGGAGAUUCCUUAAGAAAUUAAAAAUAGAGGGGCGCCUGGGUGGCGCAGUCGGUUAAGCGUCCGACUUCAGCCAGGUCACGAUCUCGCGGUUCGUGAGUUCGAGCCCCGCGUCAGGCUCUGGGCUGAUGGCUCAGAGCCUGGAGCCUGUUUCCGAUUCUGUGUCUCCCUCUCUCUCUGCGCCUCCCCCGUUCAUGCUCUGUCUCUCUCUGUCCCAAAAAUAAAUAAACGUUGAAAAAAAAAUUAAAAAAAAAAAAGAAAUUAAAAAUAGAUCUACCCUAUGAUCCAGCAAUUACACUAUUAGGUAUUUAACUAAAGGAUACAAAAAUACAGAUUCAGAGGGGUACAUGGAACCCAAUGUUUAUAGCAGCGUUAUCAACAAUAGCUAAACCAUGGAGAGAGCCCAAAUGUUCAUCAGCUAAUGAAUGGAUAAAGAUGUGGGGGGUGUGUGUGUGUGUGUGUGUGUGUGUGUGUGUGUGUAUGUGAUGGAAUAUUACCAGCCACCAAAAAAGAAUGAAAUCUUACUAUUUGCAAUGAUGGGAUAGAGCUAGAAUGUAUUAUGCUAAGUGAAAUAACCAGUGAAAGACAAACACCGUAUGAUUUCACUCAUGUGGAAUGUAAGAAACAAAAUAGAUGAAUAUAUAGGAAGGGGGAGAAAAAGAGAAGAGAGGGAAGCAAACCACAAAAGACUUAAUGAUAGAAAACAAACUAUGGGUUUAUUGGGGAGGUGGCUGGGAGAUGGACUAAAUGGGUGAUGGGUACUAAGGAGGGCACUUGUAAUGAGCACUGGGUUUUUUAUGUAAGUGGUGAAUCACUGAAUUCUACUCCUGAAACCAAUGCUGCAUUGUAUUUUAACUAACUAAAAUUUAAAUAAAUAAAAAAAGAAAAUAAAGUUUUAAUUUUAAGCCUUUGGAUUAGUUUUCUACAUUCUCAAUUUUAGGCCACUGUAGAGACACUUAUUAAACCUGUUUGUAAUUUCUGUUUUCUUAUUAAGCUAAUACUCAUGAAGAAAAAUAAGUUUGGUUGUUAAGAAUGUAUUUGAUGGUAAUUCUUUUUUUUUUUUCUUUCCAAGUUUUUAUUUAAAUUCUAGUUAGUUAACAUGCAUACACUUUUUGGUAAUUCUAGGGCUAGAGGUUGUUAUAACCUAUGGUCCAUUCCAGGGAGUGAGUUCAAAUACCAAGAAUUGUGAAUGUUUUGUUCUAGUCUCCUUUGGCAAAUAGAGAUUUUCCCAUUUCCACCCUAUGAAAGGAUAAAAUAGUCUUAACUACUCAUAUUAAAUAUAAAUAUUUAAUUUGAUAAAAAAACAAGGAGCAGUAAAGUGUAUAGAAAAUAAAAAAGUAGAUUCUGACCUUGAGGAAGAAAAAUCUGCAUAGAAUAAUUUGAAAAUCUUUUAAAUGCUGCCUUUCUAUGCCCUUAUCUCUUAUGUCUUUGGACCCAAACCUUCUCAAUUAGAUUCCAGAUUAGGGAGUUUCUAUAAUCAAUUGGUCUCCUUGGAAUGUUUCAAACUAAGGCAGUUCACAAAGGCAUAACUCCACAUGCACCAUUUCCUGAGAUGUUGCCUAGGAGUACUGGGCAUCUAGAACUAAGUGAUGCCUUUGAUUCUGUACCUAGACCACUAUUUUUCUUGUUGCUUCUGUACCUUACACACCAUGUUUUCAUUGGACUUAUCAUCAUAAGAAAGUGCUCCUUACCUGUAACAACUCCUUUACCUUGUGGAAAAAUCUGCCUGGGGCUCCAGGAAGACAAACUCUAUGUACAUCAUUUUUAAAACUUUUUAAGUGAGCUAUAUAACUACAAUAUCAUCAUGAUGUAUACCCUGGAUGCAGUCUACAUGAAUAGUAAUUUGUUGAAUAUAAUGUUGCAUAUAGGGGGAAAUUACUUUGGUGCCAAAGUUGACAGUUUAGCUUUUCAGAUUUUUUGUUCUAAAUAAACAAAAAUAUGUAUUUUGUAUUUAUUUCAAAAUAAUAGAAGUAUGGCCUUCAUCUACUGUACUUUUUUCAUUAAACUAAUAUUUCUUUGCUCUAGAGUCCAUAAAAACUAAUACAUGAAGAUGAUACUGAAAUUGGUUUGCUAACACUCUAUUUAGGAAUUUGUCAAUAUAUUCAUCAAUAUAGUUGGUCUAUACUUAUUUUUUCUUAUAUUCACCACUCUGGUUUUAGUGUUAAGAUGAAAUUAGUCUUGAAAAAUGACUUAGUCACACUUAAACUUAGUCACAUAUUUUAGUCUUAGAGAAAUUCUGAAGAUCAGAUUUUUUUUUAUAAGGAAUUUGGCAAAAUUUGGCUAUAUAUUUAUUUGGAACUUGUUUCUUUUUAACAGAGUUUUAUUGGAAGUUACAUUUUUCUUUCUUUUUCUUUCUUUUUUUAAUCCUCAUCACCUAUUUAACCCAACCCUCCACCCCUCUUCCCUCUGGUAACCAUCUAUUUGUUCUCUGUAAUCAAGAUCUGUUUCUUGUUAUCUCUCUCUCUCUCUUUCUUAUUUUAUUCCCUUUCCUUAUUUGUUUUGUUUCUUAAAUUCCACAUGAGUGAAAUCAAAUGGUAUUUGUCUUUCUCUGAUUGACUUAUUUCACUUAGCAUAAUACUCUCUAACUCCAUCCAUUCAUUGCAAAUAACAAGAUUUCAUUCUUAUGUCUGAAUAAUAUUUCAUUGUGUGUAUAUACCACUAUUCUUUAUUUGUUCAUCAAUCUAUGGACACUUGGGCCACUUCCAUAUCUUGGCUAUUAUAAAUAAUGCUGCUAUAAACAUAGGGGUGCAUAUAUCCCUUUCAAUUAGUAUUUUUGUAUUCCUUGGGUAUAUAUCCAGUAAUGCAAUUGCUGGAUCAUAAGGUAGUUAAAUUUUUAACUUUUUGAGGAACCUCCAUGCUGUUUUCCACACUGGCUGAACCAGUUUGCAUUCCCAUCAGCAGUGCAUGAGUGUACCUUUUCUUUACAUCCUCACUAAAACUUGUUGUUUCUUGUGUUUUUUAUUUUAGUCAUUCUGAUAUAUGUGAGGUGAUAUCCCAUUACAGUUUUGAUUUGCAUUUCCCUGAUGAUAAGCGAUGAUGAGCAUCUUUUCAUGUGUCUGUUGGCCAUCUGUAUGUCUUGGAAAAAUGUCUGUUCUUGUCCUCUGCCCAUUUUUGAUUGGAUUAUUUAUUAUUUGGGUGUUGAGUUUUAUAAGUGUUUUAUGUAUUUUGGAUACUAACCCUUUAUUGAAUUUGUCAUUAUCUUCUCCCAUUCUGUAGGUUGCCUUUAGUUUUGUUGAUUGUAUCCUUUACAGUACAAAAGAUAUUUAUUUUGAUGUAGAUACUAACUCUUUAUUGGAUAUGUCACUUGCAAAUAUCUUCUCCCAUUUUGUAGGUUUCCUUUUAGGUUUGUUGAUUCUUUCCUUCACUGUGCAGAAACUUUUUAUUUUGAUGUAGUCCCGAUAGUUUAUUUUUGCUUUUGUUUCCCUUGUCUCAAGAGACAUAUCUGGAAAAACGUUGCUAUAUCUGAUGUCAAAGAAGUUACUGCCUGUGUUUUAUUCUAGUAUUUUUAUGAUUUCAGGUUUCACAUUGAGGUUUUCAAUUCACUUUGAAUUUAUUUUUGUGUAUGGUGAAAGAAAGUGGUCCAGUUUCAUUCCUCUGCAUGUUGCUGUCCCAUUUUCCCGACACCAUUUGUUAAAGACGUUUUUUUCCCAUUGUAUAUUCAUUCCUCCUUUGUCUAAGAUUAAUUCACCAUAUAACUGCGGGAUUUUCUAUUCUGUUCCAUUGAUCUAUGUGUCUGUUUUUUGUGCCAGUACCAUACUAUUUUGAUUAUUACAGCUUUAUAAUAUAACUUGAAGUCCAGAAUUAUGAUGCCUCCAGCUUUGCUUUUCUCUGUGAAAAUUGGUUUGGCUAUUUGGAGUCUUUUGUGGUUCCAUACAAAUUUUAGGAUCAUUUGCUCUAUUUAUGUGAAAAAUGCUGUUGGUAUUCUGACAGAGAUUGCUUUAAAUGUGAAUUUACAUUUUUAAAUGGUUAUUUUUUGUUUAGAUAUUAUUUUAAAAAAUUAUUUUUAUCUUAAUUAUGUAUUAAUAUAAUUUUUUCAUAUUACUCUAUUGAUUUUUACAAUCUUUAUGUCCACUUUUUUCCCAUUUUUAAUCCCAAUGUUAUAAACAUAUUCCUUUUCUCUCUUUCUCUUCUCUCUUUUUUACAUUCUUCUUUCGUUUUUCUCAUGUCCUGCUUGAUAUUUGGCUACAAAUUGCUUUUCAAUUUCAUUAUUUUUUCUGUUAUUUUCUUUAAUUUGCUCCUUUUAUUAUUUUUUUGCUAUUCUUUUUCUUUUCCUAAAUUAUCACCUCAAAUGCUAAACAUACCAUGAGUCCUAUGUUAGUUGUCACUCCCAAAUUUGGUUACAGCAUAUCUUCAUUAUCAUUCAGUUCUAAAUAUUUUAUAAUUUCCAUUGCAGGAAUUUUCUCUUUCACACAUGUUAUUUUGGAAUGCAUUUUUAAAUACACACACACCCACACAAAUGCAGAUGCACCUGGAGUUGAUUUAUUGUAUAUGGAGUAAGUUGGGAAAUCCAAGAGCAUUUUAUCCCAAUGUAGUCACUUUUUAAAAAUGCCAUUUAAUAAGUAACGCCAUGUUUGUCUACUGGUAUGCCAGGCCAACCUUUGUCCUAUAUAAAAUGAGUUUAUUUGGGGGCUGUUUUAUUCCUUUUGCUAGUUUGUCUCUGCUUAUGCCAGAAGCUUAUGGUUUUAAUUCCUUUGGUUUGCAAUAAGAAUUGAUGUUGGGUAGGACUAGUCUCCUCUCCUCACUUCUCUUCUUAAGACUCUUGACUAUUUUCACCUCCUUUUCCCCCAUAUAUAUGUUUCAUAAAUAUUUUUGAAUGUUUAUCAAACAUUCAGAGAAAUAAUUCACAACUUUACAAUAUUCAUCCUUUUUUGAACACAGUAUCUUUUCAUUAUUUAAUGACUCCAAACAGAUAAAAUAUUAUAGUUUUCUUGGUACAGGUUUUGCUUAUAUUUUGUUAGAUUUAUUCCUACUUGAUAUUAUUUUAUGAUAUUGUCUCCUUUUCAGUUGUAUUUUCUGGUGUAUGUAAAUGUAAUUGACUCUUGUUUUGUUACCUUAUUACCCAGUCUUCUUGUUCAACUCUGCCGUGAUUCCAAAAUUGAUUCAUAGUUUCUUUAAAUUCUUUUAUAUGAAGUCUCAUAUCAUUUACAAUAAUAAGAUUUUUAUUUUUACUUCCAAAACUUCAAGCUUUUUUCUUCAAAUGCACAAUCUAAGAUCCCUAAUACAAGGUCAAGGAGUUAAAUUGAUGAAGGUGGGUGUUUCAUCUCAUUUCCUUAUUCUAACAUUUCCUGUUUGUAAUAAUGCUUACUGUAUACACGUGCACACAUAUACACACACUUUUUCAUAUUAGGGAAUUCUCUUCUUAGUUCUCUGGAAACUUUUAAUGUGAAUUUAUAUUUAACUUUAUUUAAUGUCUUAUGGAAUCUAUUGAAGCAAUUAUAUGGAUAUUAUCUUUAAUAUAUAAAUGUGCAUUUCUGGAAUAAACUCAAAUUGGUCAUAAUAUACUAUGUUUUCUAUGUAAUAAUGGAUUCAAUUGGAUAAUAUUUUGUUUAGGAUUUUUGCAUCUGGAUUCAUGACUUAAAAGGUUUUGCUGUUUUCCUUGUUAUAAAAUUUUAGUCUCAUUUUCUGUUUCUCUGUACUGUAAUGAAUUUUUCAAUUUUUUCCCAACUCUGUAGGUAUUAUUGUGAUUAUGACUUAUUUUGAGUUUGCAGUACUAAUGCAAUAUUUAUUUUUAAGAUUUAAUUUUUAAGUCAACUCUACACCCAGUGUAGGGCUUGAACCCACAACCUCAAUAUCCAGAGCCACAUACUCCACCAACCGAGCCAGCCAGCCAGGCAUCCCACUACUGCAGUAUUUUAUAUUAAUGGAAAUAUUUUGAUCAAACAAGAUUUUUUAGUUAUUUUCAUUUUAAAUUCAUGUUACAUGUUCUAUCCACAUGCAUUUGUUUUAUUUCUGUCCAUUUUUUUCAUAAUUUCUUCUUUUAAAAUAAUGAAAGAUGUGUCAUCAGUUAUAUCCUUAAACAUCUGAAACAUCAUCAUCUUAAAUUUUGUAAUUGACUCUCUUGGAACUUUAAUUUUAUAUGGAGAAAUAACCCUUAUAGUAGAUCUGUUUAUUUGUUUACUUACUUUACUUACUUAGAUUUUUUAAAAAUGGGCUUUAACUUUGAGUUAUAGGUGUAUUUUUUGUGGAGGCUUUUUUUUUCUUCUCUACUCUUCUUUUUGCUCCUCUGGUGGUUUUGCUACAACUCCAACUAGCCUUGCAGACCAGGUUCCAUCAUAAAUGCAGGAUGGAUUCCUGUGUCAGUAUUAAAGGCCCUGCAAAUCCAGCCACAGAGCCAGAGAAUAUCUUGGCUCAGUUCCUGGUAUAGAGCUUUUCUGCACAUUGUUUGAGAGCCGUAAUUCAAGUUUAAUUUUUAUUUAUUUUUAAAUUAAUAUACAGGAAAUUUCACUGUUUUUAGUAUGCAAUUCAUGAUUUUGACAAAUGCAUGGAAACUUCCUGCUGCCUUUUUAAAAAAUAAAGUUUAUUUUAUAACAGUCUUAUAUUCACAGAAAAAUUGAACAGAAGGGGCAAAAUUUCCCACACACCCUCUGCCUCCAGACAUGCAUAGCCUCCCCCGUUAUCAGCAUCUCUCACCAGAGUCGUAUUUGUUACAGUCGAUGAACCUACACUGACACAUCAUUAUCACCCGGAGUCCAUAGUUUACAUUAGGGUCCACUUUUAGUGUUGUACAUUCUGUGGGUUCUAGACAAAUUUAUAAUGACAUUUAUCUAGCAUUAUGGUAUCAGAGUCGUUUUAUUACUCUAGAAAUCCUCUGGCCUCAAUCUGUUCAUUUGUCCCUCCCCUCAGCCCCUGGAACCACUGAUCUUUUUACUAUUUUAUUUUGCAUUUUCCAGAAUGUCAAAUAGUUAGAAUCACAGUAUGUAGCCUUUCAGAUUAGCUUCUUUCACUUCAUAAUAUGCAUUUCAGUUUCUCAUGCGUUUUCAUGGCUUGAUAACUUAUUUUCUUCUAGCACUGAAUAGUAUUCCAUUGUCUAAAUGUACCACAAUUUACUUAUUCAUUUAUCUACUAGAUGACAUUUUAGUUGCUUCUGUUAUGCCCAGAAUUCGUGAUCCCCAAAGACCACCAGGGAGCUGAGUCCGAUGCAAAAGCAAAAGAGCCUUUAUUCGAGCUAGCUCGAGCUCAAUCCCCUACCUGCACCGACGCAGCGGUGAGAUACCAGGGAGAGAGAGAGCGAGUUUCAAAAGCACAAAGGUUUUAUAGGGGUCUAGGGGCAGCCGAUUGGCUGGGGAAGGGGCGUGUUUUGAUCAGGAAGUUUGAAUGGGUGAGCGGGAGGUUACUCAAGGGGAGGAGGUGUGGUCUAGGUGAAGGACACAGAACAAGAUGGAGUUGGCCGGCGUAGGCCCGCCCUUUCACUUCCAAGUUUUUUUUUUUUUUUUUAAUUUUUAAAUUUAUUUGGGAGAGAGACAGAGACAGAGUAUGAAUGGGGAAGGGGCAUAGAGAGAGGGAUACACAGAAUCCGCAGCAGUCUCCAGGCUCCGACUGUCAGCACAGAGCCCUAUGCAGGGCUGGAACUCACGAACCAUGAGAUCAUGACCUGAGCUGGAAGUUGGACGCUUAACCGACUGAGCCACCCAGGUGCCCCAGUUGCUUCCAAGUUUUGACAAUUAUGAAUAAAGUUGCUAUAAACAUGUGUGUUCAAGUUUUUGUGUGAACUGAAGUUUUCACCUUCUUUGGGUAAAUACCAUGUGCUUUUGCUGGAUCAUAUGGUAAGAGUAUGUUUAGUGUUAUAAGAAGCUGCCAAACCGUCAUCUAUACUGUCUAUGACACUUUGCCUUCCCAUCAGCAAUGUAUGAGAGUGCCUGUUGCCUCACAUCCUUGUCAACAUUUGGUGCUAUCAGUGUUCUGGAUUUUGUCUGUUCUAAUAGGUAUGUAGUCGUCGUAUGUCAGUGUUGUAUUAGUUUGUAUUUCUCUGAUGACAUAUGAUGUGGAGCAUCUUUUCAUGCACUUAUUUGCCAUCUGUAUAUGUUCUUUGGGGAAGUGUCUGUUAAGGUCUUGGCCCCCUUUUUAAUUGAGUUGUUUGUUUUCUUAUUGUUGAAUUUAAGACUCUUUUUGUAUUUUUGGGAUAAUAGUCCUUUCUCAGAUUCGUCUUUUGCAAAUAUUUUCUCCCAAUCUGUGACUUGUCUUUUUAUUCUCUUGACAGUUUCUCUUGCAGAGCAGAAUGUUUCAGUUUAAUGAAACUUACCAAUUCUGUUACAGAUGGUACCCUUGGUGUUGUAUCUAAACAGUCAUCACCAAAUCCAAGGUCAUCUAGGUUUUCUAUGUCAUCUUCUGGAAUUUUGUAGUUUUGUGUUUAGUAUUUAGAUCUGUGGUCCAUUUUGAGUUAAGUUUUGUAAAGAGUGUAAGGACACUCUUUGAUGUAAUUUUUGGCCAAUGGAUGCCAAUUUUCUCCAGCACCAUUUGUUGAAAACUGUUUUUUCUCCAUUUUAUUGCUUUUGCUCCUUUGUGAAAGAUCAGUUGAUUAUAUUUAUGUGGGCAUAUUUCUGGACUCUCUUCUGUUCUAUUGAUCUAUUUGUUUCUUGUUUUACCAAUGCUUGCUGUCUUUUUAUGUCAAAUCCUCCACCCACUCAUGUGGGACCAUUCAUCCCUGUAGUUUUGCCUUUUACAGAAUGCCAUAUAAAUGAAACCAUAAAGGAUGCAGUCUUUUGAAUCUAAAUUCUUUCUUCACUUAGCUUCAUACAUUUUGAUACGAUAGAUGUUAUAGCAUGUAUCCAUAUUUUCUUUAUUGCUGAAUAGUAUUCCAUUGUAUGAAUGGGCCAGUUUAUUUACUCAUUUCUUAGUUGAGGGCCAUUUGGAUUGUUUCCACUUUGGGGCGAUUACCUAUAAAGCUUCUAUAAACAUUUGCUAUAAAUGAGUAUGCAGGUUUUCAUUUCACUAGUAUAAAGCAGGUAUAAUAGUCAACAAUUUUUGUUUGUGUUGUUUUGUUUUGUUUGCUGUUUUUUUUUUUUCAUAGCUUAUUUAUACUGAUAGUUGGGUUCCCUCCUGUGCUUUCAAACAGAGAGCCUAAAUCAGUUACCUUUCUGAAAAAAAGGGUAGUUUGUCUUCUUUGCCCCAGAAAAGCAGAAUUUCUAGCCACCACUAUCUUUAUUUGGGGUGGGAAGACUUAUCACUUUAACCUCUCUCUUCAUUUGGUGUUUCUAUUCCAUUUUUGGUCCAUGAAAAUAUUUAUUUUUUCCUAAGUUACAUGUUUUUUUGUUUUCUCAUUAUAUGUUUUGUCUAUAAUUACUAUGUGGCAAAGCAGAGGGGGUGAUCAGACUACAAACUCACAGAGCCAUCUGGAACCAGAAGCACCUGGAAUUCCCAGAAGGUCCUGCCUGUGCUCAUGGCACCAUCACCCAUCCAGCUGAGUGAAUCGGAGAACUGAGAGUUAUUUUUGAUUAUUUCCUUUGCCCUCAGCUUCUAUAUGCAGUCGAGCACAAAAUUUCAUUGGUUAUUACCUUGUAAUUGCUUCUCGAAUUAUUAUACUCUUUUUCAUCUGCAGCCUCCAUUUUGGUCUAAGCUCUGGUCAUCUCUCACUAGGCUUCUCUUUCCACCUAACCUCUCUUCACAAUGAAGCCUGAAAUAUCUUCUAUAGCUACAUAUAUAAUCAAAUCAUUCUCUUGCUUUAAAUAUUAUAUGGCUUCCACUAACCUUAGUUUAUAAAGAGAUAAAGCCUGGGGCUCAGCCUGUUGCCUACUGCUUUAACCUCUUGAUGAGCUCCUUCCUCUAUAAGUUCUAUUCAUACCCAUCUCCUUUAGUCAGUGCUCUGUAGAGGGCAUGCUCAUCUCACUUCAAGGUGUUCACAAGUGUUAGUCUUCUGCUUGAAUGCUUUUUUUUUUUCUCUCUUUUCAAACUCCCUUUCAUAUGUAAUUUCUACUAGAACUUAGUAAGAAGACUUCAAGGAAGUCUUCCCUGACUUCCCUAACUUCUUCAGGUCCUGAUUACACACUCCUAUUAUACUUUGUAUUUACAAUAAUUCUUUACUCUGAUGUCUAUCUUGUUUCUUUUGUGUAUGACUAGUGUUAUGUUCUGACAACACUAAGUUUUCACUGAAUACCUUGUGUAAAUUAAUAAGUAGCUACAAAAAUAUGUUUCAGAGGAGUCAUUUAAAUGGUACCAUUUGAAGUACCAAGUACGUCCGUAUCUUUGGGUACCUCACCUGCUGAUGUCUGAAAGUGUAUCAAUCUUCAUUACUUUUGAUUAGCCAUUGCCCUAUCUAGACUCCCCACUUUAAAAGGCAAUUCCUUCUUGGGAUACCUGCAUGGCUUAGUCGGUUGAGCGUCCAACUUUGGCUCGAUCAUGAUCUCAUGGUUCAUGGGUUCGAGCCCUGUGUCGGGCUCUGUGCUGACAGCUAGGAACCUGGAGCCUGCUUUAGAUUCUGUGUCUCCCUCUGUCUCUGCCCCUUCCCUGCUCGUGCUUUGUCUCUAUCUCUCAAAAAUAAAUAAACAUUAAAAAAAAAGGCAAUUACUUCUUGUAAUACUAAUGCAUGAUGUCCUUAACUCCUUAGUGUACUGAGGUUACCAGAUUUCUUUCAUUCCUGAGGGACAGACUGUCCGAUGACAUAGAUAACAUUAAGGGAAUUUUCCAAGUUAAGUUCCUACACAACUGGUUUGGUCAGGUAAAAGUGAAAGGAUAUGGCCUAGCUCUUUCCCAGAGUAUAUACAUAAUAAAUACAUGAGGUAGUUUUUAUUGUGGUGGCUUCAUUCACACCCUAAUAGUGUACGGUCUAGUUGAAUUGAUUGACAAUGGUGUCUAGGCUUCAACAAUGAGCUUGCUGAUUCAGAGUGAGUUAAUCUCAUCAAUGUAAAUACUUUUAAAGAGCCUAGAAUAUUUUCUUUGACACACUCUUGCAGUUGAGUCAGAUAUUUGGCAUCUAUAACCCCAACAACUUGGCUCAUAACUUGGUAGAGAAAUCCAUCUAGCUAGCUGGAGGCCUUCUGAAUAAUAAGUGAGACUUUUUCACAGCAUGUAAAUUGCAGAACAAAUACCACACCAUCGGUUUAUAAUGACUUUUUAAUUUUUAUUUAUUUUUACAGUAGGCAGAUAUUGGGACAAGGGACUUCUGAAAGUGUUUAUAACACUUUAAAGGAGAAGAUUUUCCUUUCUUUCUGGGAGUCAUGGAAUCUUGUGACAAGGAAGAAUUGUGGGUGGAUUUUAUUAAUAGCUAACAUUAAUUGAGUAUAUAGAAUAUGUGCUAGGUGCUAAAAUAGCUCUUUAUAUUGUAUUAUUGUAUUUAAUCUCCAAUCUGUUAGCUAGUUGCUGUUGCUAUCUCUAAUUCUUUUUUGGGGAAAAUAAUGAUUUAUUUCACUGGGUCUAUUUCAAAGAAUGGAAAAAUUAUACUUAUCUUUAUUUGUGAAAGAAAAUAAGUCAGUAUAAUUACUCUUGAAGGAAAUAAAUUUUACUAAGGGUAAAAUCUAGAAGUAGUUGUAUGGAAUAUUCUUCCUUAUAUCAAUGAUUUAAUAAGUAUCCUGUUACUCUAGAUCUCAGGGCAAAAUUUAAAUGGUUGUAGAAACUUAGUUUCUUGAGGUGAAUGAGAUUAGGUUUUUGGGGCAGUAGAGUUCUAACAUCGUUGGGGCAGCCAAGUUGUCAUUUAGACCAUACCUCACUGCAGUUUUUACUUUCAUGUUCUUCAUACUAUCAUGGAAAGGAAUGGGAUACCUAUAGUGUUUCAUGUUCUGAGCAAGACUUUCAAGUCAUAAGCUCCAAGUACUUUGGUAACUUCUUGAGAUGCCUGUAUUUAAUGCAGAAAAUUUUGAAGAGAAGUUCCCGUUGGAUUAUGUAACAAUGCAGAUCAAUGGUACUCCUUUUUAGACUCUUGGGUAAAAUCCAAACUGAGUAAAGUUGGUUUUGCCACGGAUAAUAUCCAUCAUAUAAAUGUUGCACAACAUUGUACUUGUAAUUCAAUUUCAAAUGACCAUGGAAAUAAUUUUUGGUAUACAAAUGAAGUCUUAUGUAAUACCAUGGGAAGGUGUAAGAAUAUUUUUGUAAGACCUCUUAUGUACCCAAAAUAGAAGGCUGGGGCUAAUACAGAAAAUUUUUGAUUCAUUGAGCCACCUCUGGAAAGUUAGAAAAUGCUAUGAGCCAGAACAGAUAUGAUGUGGGCUUUCCCAAGGCCCUAUUACUUCUCCUUUAUAGAUGAAGAAACUGUAUCCCAGGAAGGUUAAAUGACUUGUCCAAAGUCAACUUGCCAAGUCAGGUUUGAAGCCCCCCAGAGUGAUCUUCUACCUAGAUGCAGACCAGAGUUCCAAGGAACUUGAUAUACAGCCAGUCUCAGAUGAUUAUAAUGUGGCUGGCUGCCAGAAUUAUGCUUGCUGUGAGAGAAAUUACUAUAGGGAAAGAACAUAGUAAACACAGCUACAGAUAUGGGUCAUGUGCAUGCACUGAGAAAAAAGGAAUCAAAGUGGCAUAAGAACUUGGGUUUAAACAUUUGCUCUUCUGAAUUUGACUACCUGCUCAAGAGCAUGGGUGAGGGAGUCAGGGUUCUGGGGUUGGGGUUCUGGGGUUGGGUUCAAUGUGGAGGAAAUUAAAACCUAUCUUUGCUCAUUAGGAAAAAAUGCCUAAAGGACUAGAAAAGAAAUUUAUAUUUUUAAGAAUGGAAGAAAAUAUACUUAAUCAGAAUUUAACCCAUGAACUAAACUCAUGUCUCUGUGGCAUGAGCUCAGAGAUCAUAGUAGGUCAGUGUGAAUCCCUCAGUGUUUCCAGUGCUAUGUGCCUGAAAACUUGCUUUUCAAGCGUUAUUCCUUUAGUUUUAUGCUCUAAUCCCUGUCAAAAUGCAAAUUCUUUUUCAGAAACUUUUCAUAUAAAACAAAUGAUUUGACUUUUUUUUUAAUGCCAGCACAUCUGAAAAAUAUGCCACAUUCCAAUCAGCAACUGUGGGUUCACUAUGGCAAUGAUUGUCAAAUGUUCCCACAACUUCUGAGUACAGAGGGUAUUUGAAUUUUAGGAGAAGUUGAUGGGAAGACAAUAGGAAACCACACUGUCAAGAAUUCACUAAAUGUGAAUUUAUGCAAGGGAAAGAAGGGCAAUGGUGGGCACCUGGAGCAGAAGGGAAAGGAGAAGGUAGAAAGCUUAGCAACAAGCUGUUCUGGCUUGACAGUUUACCAAUGAUGGGUCUUCCAGAUACAGUGAUGGAACACUUCACAGGUUUACCUACUAGCAUCUCUUGUCAUCGAAUGCACACCAAGUCCGACUGACAUAUCACUCACAGGUGCUAAGUAUUGCUGUUACUAGAUAGGCUGGUAGGUGAGAAAGAGGAUGGACUUUGGAGGAAAACUUAGACUCUCAUAUCUUCAUCAUCAUGGGUUGGCUGAACAGUCUGAGGUAUAUUAAUGAGCCUCUUUGAGAACCUUUCCACUAUAGCAUGUUGCCUAUGGAUAACAACAUUUAUGUUGUGACAAGGGAGUUUGGCUCUGCAGGAUGCUUAGCAAAGUACCUGCAGGGAGUUAUGCACUAGAGUUUAUACCCACCAGUUCCCUUCCUGGCUUCAUGAUUGCUUCACCUCUCCCUACAUCUCUCCUGUGCUGCACCCUGGUUUUCUAAAGGCAUCCCAUUGAGGACUGCACAUCUGAGACCAUGCUUUACACAUUGGCUGAGCUUUCUGUCAUCAUACUUUCUUCCCUCAAGGAAGGUCCUGGGUAAGUACAUUCACACCAACAUACUGAUAAUUAAAGACCUAGUUAAUAUUAUUUUCUGAAACAUAGCUGAAUUUUAAUGAAAGGGAACAAAUUAAGAGUUUCAGUUUUAAUAGUGAGAGAGAGAGAGAAUGAGGCAUCAAUAUCUGAUUGAUUGAUGUUGAGUCUCGGUGUUUAACUCUCCAAUUUUGAUCUCCAUAAUUUUAGACCAGAAGGCUGGCUUCAGCUUGGGUUGUAGAACACUUAGGGAAAGAUUUUAGAUGCAGAAGAGCUGAGGGUUAAGUAUAAGGUGCUUGACAGUCGUGCAUUUAGAAGUCAGGAGAUGGGCAAGAAGUUUGAAAAAGAGUAGCCAUCAAGGCUGAGGGCAUACCAGGAUAUUUAUCCAACAGGGUUAUGCCAUAUCCGUGUUACUACCUGCUCAACUGGAAACUGAGCUUAGGGCUCACUAACAGAAGGGAGAGAUAUUGAAACUUGUUCUGUCCUCAUUAUAGUCAAAUAUAUCUUUGGUUCAUUCUUUACAGUGAGUCACCUGCUCAAUCUGUCCUUAGUCUUUCAGCUAGGACUUGGGAUGUUUUAAUUUACUUAGCUUAAGCUGGAGUCAGAAACAUUGCUAUAUACUACUUUUGAAUUUAUUUUCAUGUUCCAUUAUAACCUCAUCAUCCCCCUUCACAGUCUAAUGGUUAAAGCUUGGGGUUUGGAGUCAGACAGGUAAGGUGUUUAAUCCUGUUUUCACUACUGACUAGCUGUUUAUUAUUUUACCCAAAGGUGAGAUUACCACUUCUCCAAAUUCCCAGAAAUGCAUUCUUAUCCUUCUCUCUUCUCCAAGACAUCGGCAGUAUUGCCCAGAGUUUGGUCUCUCAUACAGUACUGCUGAAAGUAUCUGAGGCAAACAUGUGAGGUGGAGAGAAACUGGGGUCCCAGGAGGUCAGAGAUUUCAUAGCAUAGAUUAACUGAUGGCAUUUUUCUGUGCUUCUAAUGUCAUCAUGAAAAAAGAAACUUUAAUCCUCUGGAAGGGGAACUAAUAUUACAAAAGAAACAAAGCAAUCCACAGGUUGUAAUUAUGCUUUCUAUAAAGAAGGUCCAGCCCAAAAAGCCAUAGUAUAUUUUAAUGGAUGUGUCAAAGCUACUCAAGACAUUAACAUGAAAUAUCAAGAGCAAGCCAUGUAAACCACUAAAAACAGUUAGCAAUGGAGAAGAACUUCAGGGAAAGUGGAAGAACUUCAGGGAAAGUGGAAGCUGCCCCAAACACUUCACGCUCUAUUGUGUGGAGGAGGGGAAUGAAGAAGAGCAUAGUUGUUACCAGUUGGUAGACAGUGGGUGAACUUUGACUCAAUGGAAAAAAUAGUUUUCUUUUAUCCUGAGUCACUCAGUAAUGGAACAGGCUACUUUUCAAGGUAAAAUUGUAGAAUUUUCUUGCCAGAGGAGUCUUUGAAAUCACGUUAGCCCCUCUUUUCAGCUGACUUGUGAGAUGACCAAGGCCAUGUUCGGUUUAAUGACUUUCACAGAGUCACACAGGAGGCAUAUAGAGUUGGAAAACAUGGCUUGAGUCUGUACACCACUGUUCUUUCACUAUGAAAGCUUGUUUUCCUUGUUCUGCUUCCAGUAGUCCUGAGAGAAACUCAGAGCUUCAAGAGAUGAGAUCUGAGCCUACUUCCUUUCAUCAAAGAUUUGGCUAGGAAAGCUCAAAGAUGCAGGGAGAGCAGGGUGAUGCUUUUACAUCAAAAUAAUAUGACCUUUCUUGGUUCAUCUGUAAUAAAAGCAAAAAAAUAUGUAAGUAGGAAUAAUACUAAUUUCUCAUAUAUCACUUCUCAAGUAACUCCUCCACAGUAGCAAGAAUAAAGUUUAUCUUCUUGUCAGAAACUGGGUGAAGAAUAGCUUUGACAUUUAUCAGAGAGAGAGCAGGCUGAGAAAAUUAUAGGAUGCAAAAAUAGAUGUAGGCCUGGCAAA